Molecule: ribosomal RNA, 424 nt
Filed under: uncultured rumen bacterium
Lineage: Bacteria
Description: bacterial SSU rRNA
Rfam family: Bacterial small subunit ribosomal RNA
Source: RNAcentral
GUGGGGAAUAUUGGUCAAUGGACGCGAGUCUGAACCAGCCAAGUCGCGUGCGGGAAGAAGGCCCUCCGGGUCGUAAACCGCUUUAGCCGGGGAGUAACGUGGGGGACGCGUCCCUCAGUGAGAGUACCCGGAGAAUAAGCAUCGGCUAACUCCGUGCCAGCAGCCGCGGUAAUACGGAGGAUGCGAGCGUUAUCCGGAUUUAUUGGGUUUAAAGGGUGCGCAGGCGGCAUGUCAAGUCAGCGGUCAAAAUGCGGCGCUCAACGCCGUACCGCCGUUGAAACUGGCGCGCUGGAGUUUGUGCGAGGAUGGCGGAAUGCGCGGUGUAGCGGUGAAAUGCAUAGAUAUCGCGCAGAACCCCGAUUGCGAAGGCAGCUGUCCAGCACACUACUGACGCUCAUGCACGAAAGCGUGGGUAUCGAACAGG